RNAcentral lists this non-coding RNA (23 nucleotides) under Arabidopsis thaliana (thale cress). The record is from RNAcentral. Lineage: Eukaryota; Viridiplantae; Streptophyta; Magnoliopsida; Brassicales; Brassicaceae.
UUGAUCAACGGGUUUUGUAUGCA